This 812-nucleotide long non-coding RNA is filed under the name Marmota monax (woodchuck). The record is from RNAcentral. Lineage: Eukaryota; Metazoa; Chordata; Mammalia; Rodentia; Sciuridae.
UCUGUUCCUAAGACAGAGGAGAUUCUCUAAAAGGGUUCUGUAGUUGGAAAUACUAGACAGCUAUAGUGUGCUAAGUUGGUAGGUAGAAUCUGCAAUUAAAAAGAGGAUCAUCAGGUUAUAAUUUUAUAUAUAGUAUAAUUUAGUCCUUUUGGUUUUGUAGAUUGAGACCAAUGAGAGAGAUGGAAUCAUUUUCCUGGGGUGACAAAGCAUAACAGUUUGCAGGACUUUCAGUGCUAAAAUUGGAUGUAUCACAGGCAAACUUGAAUAGGUGGUCUUAGUGAACUUACUAAAAGUUAUUUAUUUGCAAAACAUUUUACUAAUAUUCAGAUACCACAUCCAUGGGAUAUCAACACAAUUUUCAAGUUAAUUUGAUACAUCAAAAGGAGUUCAUUACACAGGUAAUUGAUGGCAUAGUUCUGAUGUAGAGUGAAGCAUUCUUGGGUAUUAGAUGUUAAUGGAUGAUUUGGGAACUAUUAGGGACAUAAAAUUUUUAUUGUUAGAGCAGUGGGCUAUGUAAUUAAUCUCAUAGUAGGCCCUUUAAUAAUGUUGCCCUGCCCUAAGGCGAUCUUAGCUAAUUCUAGGGCAGAUAAGACAGGCCCACCUUGAAAGCAGAAAGCACUCACACUCCAGGUUGUAGCUGCCUUCUGUAUGUGAUCAGCCACACAGUCCAUGAGGUAACUUUGGAAAGAUCAACAGCUUGCAUAUAGCCGGUCUAUGUAAGGAUAGUAGGGGCCUUGGUGUCACACUGGAACACAGGGCAAAUUUUACUUCUUACUAGAAAUAGCAAGAGUAAUAGAAGGCCAGAUCUCAAA